AGGUGACUGCGUACCUUUUGUAUAAUGGGUCAGCGACUUAUAUUCUGUAGCAAGGUUAACCGAAUAGGGGAGCCGAAGGGAAACCGAGUCUUAACUGGGCGUUAAGUUGCAGGGUAUAGACCCGAAACCCGGUGAUCUAGCCAUGGGCAGGUUGAAGGUUGGGUAACACUAACUGGAGGACCGAACCGACUAAUGUUGAAAAAUUAGCGGAUGACUUGUGGCUGGGGGUGAAAGGCCAAUCAAACCGGGAGAUAGCUGGUUCUCCCCGAAAGCUAUUUAGGUAGCGCCUCGUGAACUCAUCUUCGGGGGUAGAGCACUGUUUCGGCUAGGGGGUCAUCCCGACUUACCAACCCGAUGCAAACUGCGAAUACCGAAGAAUGUUAUCACGGGAGACACACGGCGGGUGCUAACGUCCGUCGUGAAGAGGGAAACAACCCAGACCGCCAGCUAAGGUCCCAAAGUCACAGUUAAGUGGGAAACGAUGUGGGAAGGCACAGACAGCCAGGAUGUUGGCUUAGAAGCAGCCAUCAUUUAAAGAAAGCGUAAUAGCUCACUGGUCGAGUCGGCCUGCGCGGAAGAUGUAACGGGGCUAAACUGUGCACCGAAGCUGCGGCAGCGACACUAUGUGUUGUUGGGUAGGGGAGCGUUCUGUAAGCCGUUGAAGGUGUGUCGUGAGGCAUGCUGGAGGUAUCAGAAGUGCGAAUGCUGACAUAAGUAACGAUAAUGCGGGUGAAAAACCCGCACGCCGGAAGACCAAGGGUUCCUGUCCAACGUUAAUCGGGGCAGGGUGAGUCGACCCCUAAGGCGAGGCCGAAAGGCGUAGUCGAUGGGAAACAGGUUAAUAUUCCUGUACUUGGUGUUACUGCGAAGGGGGGACGGAGAAGGCUAUGUUAGCCGGGCGACGGUUGUCCCGGUUUAAGCAUGUAGGCGGAGGUUCCAGGUAAAUCCGGUACCUUUUUAACGCUGAGGUGUGAUGACGAGGCACUACGGUGCUGAAGUAACAAAUGCCCUGCUUCCAGGAAAAGCCUCUAAGCAUCAGGUAACACGAAAUCGUACCCCAAACCGACACAGGUGGUCAGGUAGAGAAUACCAAGGCGCUUGAGAGAACUCGGGUGAAGGAACUAGGCAAAAUGGUGCCGUAACUUCGGGAGAAGGCACGCUGAUAUGUAGGUGAAGCGGUUUACCCGUGGAGCUGAAAUCAGUCGAAGAUACCAGCUGG
Molecule: ribosomal RNA, 1219 nt
Filed under: Citrobacter sp. wls716
Lineage: Bacteria; Pseudomonadati; Pseudomonadota; Gammaproteobacteria; Enterobacterales; Enterobacteriaceae
Description: partial 23S ribosomal RNA
Rfam family: Bacterial large subunit ribosomal RNA
Source: RNAcentral